CACUGACCUAUUUUUAGCGAGGGGAUUCCCCUAUAUUGCACCACGCCUUGAAAUGCCUUGUUUUACAAAUCACCCAGCUUUUGGUCUAGAAUCGGUGUUUCAUACUCAUCAGACAUCCGGUUGGUGGAGGUCGACGGUCACCUUCCUGUGGUGCUUGUUCCUGUGGGCCAGAUUGACCUUCAGGAGGGGGAGGACAUCCGGUUGGUGGAGGAGGACGAUGAUCUUCCUGUGGUGCUUGUUCCUGUGGGCCAGAUUGACCUUCAGGUGGGGGAGGACAUCCGGUUGGUGGAGGAGGACGAUGAUCUUCCUGUGGUGCUUGUUCCUGUGGGCCAGAUUGACCUUCAGGAGGGGGAGGACAUCCGGUUGGUGGAGGAGGACGAUGAUCUUCCUGUGGUGCUUGUUCCUGUGGGCCAGAUUGACCUUCAGGUGGGGGAGGGCAUCCGGUUGGAGGAGAGCUACCUCCCCAGAGACAGCACGUGUCAGUUGUGAACCAAGACAUUUCUUCAGAUUUGAGUGUCCGAGUGGAUGAACACUUGCAACAGUAUUCAAACUAUCUCAUGGCAAGCCUCAAAACAGCUAGCCAGAGACAGACAGACAACAACUGAACGAAGCAUGAGAAACGUCCUACGAUGACACUCAAUCAAAUCAGCCAAGUCAUCAAGACAUUCACGAGAUUGGACCAGCGGAGGAACAUUAUUUAACUUAAUCGCCUUCUUGGAAGUUCUGGGCAGCUCUACUGACUCAGGCGUCCAUGUCAUGCAAGCCAUUGGGAAGGAAAACGUCGAGCUAUGUUCGAACUGUCUCAUUUCGGCCUUGAUACAAGCGUGUCACCGACAGACAAACAGCUGAAAACACGAGCAACACCACACGCCAUCGGGAAAAAGAAUCAUGCUGUUAAAAAUAUAAGAAGCUCACCGUGAGUAUCGGUUAGUUCCUGCGUUUAGGAGGUGGCCUUCUUCCUCCAGG
Haliotis rufescens (red abalone) is the source of this 966-nucleotide long non-coding RNA. RefSeq lists it as uncharacterized. The transcript is spliced from 3 exons. The record is from RefSeq and is a predicted model, not a curated record. NCBI's taxonomy places the organism in Eukaryota, Metazoa, Mollusca, Gastropoda, Lepetellida, Haliotidae.